RNAcentral lists this transfer RNA (18 nucleotides) under Eriosema glabrum. RNAcentral's name for it is "partial tRNA-Gln". The record is from RNAcentral. Lineage: Eukaryota; Viridiplantae; Streptophyta; Magnoliopsida; Fabales; Fabaceae.
UCAAUCCUUCCGUCCCAG